RNAcentral lists this ribosomal RNA (371 nucleotides) under uncultured organism. Its description in RNAcentral is "partial 16S ribosomal RNA". It matches the Rfam family "Bacterial small subunit ribosomal RNA", at positions 527 to 896 of the family's 1533-position model. The record is from RNAcentral.
GUAGGUGGCAAGCGUUGUCCGGAAUUAUUGGGCGUAAAGCGCGCGCAGGCGGUUCUUUAAGUCUGAUGUGAAAGCCCACGGCUCAACCAUGGAGGGUCAUUGGAAACUGGAGAACUUGAGUACAGAAGAGGAAAGCGGAAUUCCACGUGUAGCGGUGAAAUGCGUAGAGAUGUGGAGGAACACCAGUGGCGAAGGCGGCUUUCUGGUCUGUAACUGACGCUGAGGCGCGAAAGCGUGGGGAGCAAACAGGAUUAGAUACCCUGGUAGUCCACGCCGUAAACGAUGAGUGCUAAGUGUUAGGGGGUGUCCGCCCCUUAGUGCUGCAGCUAACGCAUUAAGCACUCCGCCCUGGGAGUACGGCCGCAAGGCUG